CAAACUAGUUGGGGUCAACUAUAUAGAUCUUUUUCACUAUUCAAAUCUGUUGAACGCCAAGUCCUCCAAAACUUGUAAAUCCUUUGAUUCCACUUUCUUCCAUGUCAUUUCAGGUUUUUCCGUUCCCCUUUCUCCUUCCCCUAUUAUACGGGCAAUUGAUUCUCUACAUACCAUCUUAAUUGACCCUCUUUCAUUUUAUCUCCAAUAUGUGCUAUAUGCAAUUUUUGGCGAAUGUGGUUUGCUAAUGGUCUAAAAUUUAUUUAAGAAAAGGUACAGUUGAACCAUUGUGAUCUAAUUAAUUCCUAAGCAACAAAUAUUGUUUCCAUUAAUGGGCUCACACUCUUCAAAUUUCUGUUAAAUUUCAGAAUAGGAUUUAGCCAGUUAUAGUCCUACAGCUCCAUCAAAAUCAAAUGUGCACUUCAUUUCUCUCUCACAAAAUUUGAAACCAAGACUUGUACUGCAUUGUCACGUAUAGUGGGAGAAAGUAUAGGAAAAAGGGAAUAGAUAGCUAGUUGUAGAUGUAGAAAAAGGUAGCUGGAGAGUGGAGGGAAAAUUAGUUACAGUUCUGGCAGGAAAUUGGGUAUUAAAGGGCAGUAGAGCUCCUGUAUUCAUCAUUCUAAGAUCUUAAUCAAUGAUCCUUCUAUUCUCUCUCUAAAUUCUUUGUAAGAGUUCCAAUCCCACAUCCAAAAGUCACAAGGUUCAAUGUGUUUAUAAGAGUAAAGGCUAACUAAACUAAUUUGUUAGAUCUAACCUUUUAGAAAAUGGUUGAUCUAAGUUCAAGUAAGUCAAUUUCACUCUUUACAGACUGUAGCCUCAGCCCACUCAUUCACCUCUAUCCAUUCAAUUCAAUAUCAAUUUAAUAAUAUGGUAUCAGAGCAGGUCAAACCCAGUUCAAUUCAAAUUAAAAUCAAGUUUCAAGUUCAAAGUUUCCAGAUGUUAACGCUACAUUAAAGUCCAAGGUUUCAAGAAGAGGAUUUCAAGUUUCAAGUGUGAACCAAAAUGUCCCAAUUGCCACUUAAAGGAGAGUGUUAAGAUUUACAAUCCCACAUCUAAAAGUUACAACAUAUUCAAUGGGCUUAUAAGGGUGAAAGCUUGCUAAGCUAAACGAUUAGAUCUAAUCUUUUAGCAAUGGUUGGUCCAACCCCAAGUAAGCACAUCUCACUCUUCACAAACUCUAGCAUUGGCCUACUCAUUUACCUCUACUCGUUCUCUCUCUUCUCUAUUCUUCUUUUCUCUUCUAACUCUUUUCUGCAACUAUCAGUUAGCAUUUUUAUCUAUUGGAGUUCCACAUUAGAAAACUACAAGAAAUUAAAAGAGAAUAUAAGCAAAGGGGGGGAGCCAAGCCAAAUUGGCUUAAGCCGUUUUGGUGGAGCCAACCCCAAGCUCAACAAAAUCUUGACGACAAUCGCCAAUACUCUUCGGGUUAGAAAAUUUCACACUAUCCUAACAUUUGGUAUCAGAGCUUUACGGAGGGGAAAUUGAGUGGGUAAUUCAUUGUUGUAGAUCGCAACAAUGACUAGAUCUGUUGUAAUAGGUCCUGAGAUGGUCAAGUUGGCAGAAUUAGAGAAAAAGAUGAGAAGUUUCUCAGAUCAGAUAGAGAAAAUGCAAGAGCAAAUUAAUCAGUCAGCUAGGGAUAAUGAUGCAUUGCGAGGGGAUAUGAGAGCCUUUAUGAGCAAAUUGAGCAAGGAUAAAGGAAUAGGAGAUGUUGUUGGGGAAGUUGGUGUGGGAUCUGGUAUUAGAGAAGCCGAGGAUAGAGGACUGUUACCCACUCCUCCUGUUAAUCAGCAGUUGAAGGAUCAAGAAAGUUAUGGAAAUAGCUAUAACAAUGAAGGUAUGAAUCUCUUUUUUCCUAAAAUUGAAUUGGUUACUUUUGGGGGAAAGGAACCUAGGGUUUGGCUACGGAAAUGUGUGAAAUAUUUUGAGGUUUACAAAGUACCUAAGGACCAAAGGAUUGGAAUUGCUAGUUUGUUUUUGGUUGAUAGGGCAGAUGCUUGGUUUCAAAACUGGAAUAGAGGGGAAAACCAUUCUUGGGAGGAGUUUGAAAAGGGAAUUUGUCGUAGAUUUGGGGAACAAGGGUUGGAAGAUAUUGUGGAAGAAUUUAUGAAGAUGAGACAAGAGAGAUCUAUUGAAGAAUACUUGGAUAAGUUUGAGGAUAUUAGAAUAAGGUUGGAAAGGGUGAUGCCUAGUUUGGGAGAAGCCUAUUUCCUUUCUGGUUUCAUUGGAGGAUUAAGAGAUGACAUUAGGCCCAUGGUGAGAAUGAUGAGACCUACUAGCCUUGCCCACGCUUUUGAAAUUGCAAAAUUUCAAGAACAGCUACUUAAUUGUAGUAAGAAACCUAAUUCUUUCACCAGAACCUACCAGAACAGUACCAGAACUUCCUUUGUUCCAUCAUCAUCAUCUUUUCCUUACAAAUCUGCCCCAACUUAUCAAAAUUUUCCUUAUGCACCCAAACCACCCAAUUCUGAUCAAAAUAAUAACCUGAAACAGCCCAUCUCCACCCAAAAACCAGUACUUGCAACCAGUCAAGCUUCUGUCAACCAAACUGCUACUAGACCAAAUCCUAAUACUGCACCUAAUUCCAACAACAUUAGACAACCAAGGCCCUGCUUUAAAUGUGGAGAUAAGUACUUUCCUGGUCAUCAAUGUAAGCAACAGAAAUCUGUGAUGGCUAUUCAAUCUUGUGAAAAUAAGGAAUCUGCAUUCCAAAUGUAAGGGCAGGAAGUGGAAGAUGGGGGGAAGAAGUGUGGCAUGAUGUUAUGGAAGGGGAUGGAAGCGGAAUUGGAGAUGAAAUAACCCUUUCUGUACAUGCUAUUGAGGGCAGAGAAACAGGGAAUUACUGAUUUUAAUCGACUCUGGCAGCACUCAUGGCUUCUUAGAUGUCAAAGUAGCAAGGGAUUUGAAGGCGCCUGUGGUAGAUGGGACUGCUUUUGCAGUAACAGUAGCUGAUGGCAGAAGAAUUUCCAGCACUUGUAUCAGUCCUAAUUUUAACUGGAAAAUGCAUCAUUAUUCUUUCUGUUUUGACUUCAGGUUGCUGGAUAUGGGGAGCUUUGAUAUAAUACUUGGAGUUGAUUGGCUGAAAACUUUUAAUCCAAUUUUAUUUGACUUUGAGAGUUCCUCAGUCAGUUUCCACAGGGCUGGUACAAUGAUUACAUUACAAGGAAUCACAGAUGCUACUCCACAGCAAACACUUUUGAAUUGUAUGAACUGUGGUAAGCUAGUUCAUAAGAAGGGAGGAGACUUUCAAACCCCAUUAUUCUGUCUACAAAUUUCUCCAGUGCAGGGGUCUAAUGCUGAAAGUACUGCCAUGGCAACUAAUUCAUCCUCUACUACUUAUCCUAUGGAUUUGCAACUAUUAUUGGACAAAUUCCAUUGUAUAUUUGAGGAUCCUAAAGUGUUGCCACAUUUUAGAAGUCAUAAUCUCUCAAUUCCCUUAUUGCCAUCUGCUCUGCAUGUUAAUAUCAGGCCAUAUAGGUAUCCACACUUCCAAAAGACUGAAAUAGAGAAAUUGGUGAAAGAAAUAUUGGAGAGUGAAGUCAUACAGCCUAGUACUAGCACUUAUGCUUCUCGAGUGUUGCUUGUCAAGAAAAAGGAUGGCUCAUGGAGGUUUUGUGUUGAUUACAGAAGAUUGAAUGAUCUCACCAUUAAAGAUAAAUUUCCAAUUCCUAUUAUAGAUGAUCUUCUAGAUGAGCUUCAUGGUGCUUCAAUUUUUUCUAAGAUUGAUUUAAAAGCUGGAUACCAUCAGAUUAGGAUGACUCCUUCUGAUAUUCACAAAAUAGCUUUUAGAACACAUCAUGGGCAUUAUGAAUUUACUGUCAUGCCCUUUGGGCUAACAAAUGCCCCUGCAACAUUUCAAGCACUCAUGAACCACAUCUUCCAGCCUUAUUUGAGGAAGUUUAUAUUAGUGUUUUUUGAUGAUAUUUUGAUCUAUAGCUCAUCUUGGGAACAACAUUUACACCAUUUGAAAUUAGUCUUUCAAGUUUUGCAGCAGCAACAAUUGUUUGCAAAACUAAGUAAAUGUUCAUUUGGCAAGGCUGAAAUUGAUUAUUUAGGCCAUAUUAUAUCAGGAGAAGGGGUAGCAACAGACUCUACCAAGAUUAAAGCUGUUUUGUCUUGGCCAGUACCAACUUUAGUCAAAGAGUUGAGGAGUUUUUUUGGGAUUAACUGGGUAUUACAGAAAAUUUGUUCAACACUAUGGUAUUAUCAGUAAACCACUCACUGACAUGCUUAAGAAAGAUGCUUUUCAGUGGGGUGAGACAGCUCAAAGAGCAUUUGAUCAUCUCAGAAUAGCCAUGUCUCAAGCUCAAGUUCUAGCACUUCUAGAUUUCAAUAAACCUUUCAUUGUUGAAACUGAUGCUAGUGGGACAGGUAUGGGGGCAGUUUUACAGCAGAAUGGACAUCCUAUAGCCUUUAUCUCUAAGGCUUUUGGCCCAAGAACUAAAUCACUGUCAGUCUAUGAGAAAGGGCUGCUAGCCAUUACCUUUGCUGUCUCUAAAUGGAGACAUUACCUAGAGCAAGGGCCAUUCUUUAUUAAGACUGACCAUGAGAGUAUCAAACAUUUAUUGGAGCAAAGGUUGCACACUAAUUUGCAAUUGAAGGGUGUUUCAAAAUUAUUGGGGCUGCAAUAUAAAAUUAUAUAUAGAAAGGGGGUUGAAAAAAAAGUUGUUGAUGCCUUAUCAAGGAAACCUGCUGUGGAUGGUCAACUUUAUGCUUUACACUCUUCAUUGCAGCCUACUUGGAUGGCACAAUUGAUUCAUAGCUAUGAAGGGGAUGUCAAAGCUGCUGAAUUCAUCUCUCAUUUGUAAAUAGAUGAGCAAGGCCACCCUGGUUAUUCCUAUAAAAAUGGAUUGUUAUUCCAUAAGGAUAGGUUGUAUGUGGGCAGCAAUGGUAAUUUGAGAGAGCAUUUGUUAGUUCUUUACCAUAAUUCUCAUCUAGGUGGUCAUUCUGGAAUUAAUGCUACUUUUGUGAGGUUGAGCAGACAUUUUUACUGGCCUGGUAUGUUGAAAUCAAUGGUGGACUGGAUUAAAAGCUGUGAUACUUGUGCUCAGUGUAAAACAGAAACAUGUGCCUCUCCAGGGCUUUUACAACCUUUACCUAUUCCAACUCAGGCAUGGCAGCAUGUUACAAUGGAUUUUGUGGAGCAACUACCAAAAUCUCAAGGCAAGGAUACUAUUCUGGUGGUGAUUUGCAGAUUUACAAAGUAUGGGCACUUCAUUCCAUUACAACAUCCUUUCACAGCCUCAACUGUUGCUAAAUUGUUUUUAGAUACUAUUUUUAAGCUCCAUGGCCUUCCUGUUUCUAUUAUCACUGAUAGAGACAAGAUUUUUACAAGUUUAUUCUGGAAAGAUUUGUUUAAAAUGAUGGGGACUAAGCUUGCUUAUAGUACAGCCUAUCACCCUCAGUCAGAUGGCCAAUCUGAGAGAUUAAAUCAGAGUAUGGAAGGGUAUUUGAGGUGUCUUUGUUAUCAAGCACCUCAUUCAUGGGUUAAAUGGCUUCCUUUAGCUGAAUAGUGGUAUAACACUAGCUAUCAUAGUGCCUUGAAACUGUCUCCAUUUGAAGCUUUAUAUGGUUACAAGCCAGCUCCAUUGACUUUUCUGCCUCUUGAGAAUGCUUCAGUAGGUGCAGUGACUGAUUUUGUGCAAGAUAGACAGCAUAUGUCUCAACUUAUUAGAGAUAACUUGCUAGCAGCGCAGAAUAGAAUGAAGCAAUAUGCUAAUAAAAAGAGGUCUGAAAGAAUUUUUGAAGUGGGGGAUUGGGUGUAUCUUAAAUUACAACCCUACAAACAGAGUUCUAUAGCCUUAAGGAAAAACUUCAAGCUGGCAGCAAGGUAUUAUGGGCCUUUUCAGGUGGAAGCUAAAGUUGGUACUGUGGCUUACAAACUGAAACUACCCCCUAAUUCCACUGUACAUCCUGUGUUCCAUGUUUCGUUAUUAAAGAAAAAGGUUGGUGACAAUACUGUGAUUGUUCAAGAUCUACCUCUUUUCCAGGAUGAUACAGUGAUAGUGACUCCAGAAAAAGUUUUGCAGAUUAGAAUAAUUACCAGGCAUGAUCAGCAAGUUCUUCAAGGACUUAUCAAGUGGAUGAAUUUACCUGAAGAAGAAGCCACCUGGGAGGAUCAAACCUUUAUUCUUUCUCAAUUUCCUGAGUUUCAAUCUUCUUGGGGACAAGAAGAUACUGUUGGGGGGGGUAUUGUUACAUAUUAUAGAAGGAAGAAGAGAAAUAAUAAUGUUAGGCAGAAUAAUCUAGUAGAGAAUGUUUUGGAGGGAAAUAUUGUUGCAGAAGUUAGGGAAUAAUUGAAUCAGUUACUGUCAGUUGUGUAACUAUUGUAUAAACGGAAAGAUCCUCAUCUGUAUUCACUCAUUCCAUUAAUGAAUCAAUAGUGGCACUUCUCUCUCUCUGAUUCUACUCUCAUCUCAUCUAAAUCUAAUUCUCUUCUCAUAUACUCUCCAUUCUCCAGAAUUGUUUUGGUCUCUGCAUCCAGAGGUUGAAUUAGGGCUGAUACCUAACACAAGAGAAGACAUAAAACUGGCCAGAGAGAGCCAUAUUAUAAUAUGCUGGCAUAAACCAUUUUCUUGUUUUAUUUACGUAUAAAUAUGAGGGAGAGAGAAAGCUAUUCAAUUUCCUAUAUCUAUAAAAAGCUGGUAACACAGUAAUUAUAAGGUGUCUUAAAGAGCCAGGGGAAAAAGAAAAAAAGUGGAAGAGUUGGAUCUUACUUGCGC
RNAcentral lists this unclassified non-coding RNA (6716 nucleotides) under Hevea brasiliensis (rubber tree). The record is from RNAcentral. Lineage: Eukaryota; Viridiplantae; Streptophyta; Magnoliopsida; Malpighiales; Euphorbiaceae.